GAAACAUAGGACGACAGCUGGCCAUGGUACGUGAAAUAUCACCUCCACCCCGACUGGAGUGUUUAUUUAUUUACUUAAUUUAUUUAUUUACUUAUUGGCUGCAAGCACCACAUGUAGAAGUUACCAGGCCAGGGAUGGAAUCCAAGCCAUAGCGGUGACAACCCCAGGUCCUUAAUCUGCUGGGCCACCAGGGAGCUCCUGGCUGUAGUUUGAUGGGUCUGGUUACCACAGUGCGUUACAGUCGUGUUGAUAAACGUCUAGUUGAGACGCAGGAGCACCAAUUACUCAGAAGAGCGCAUGUUUUUUAAAAAGCAGGUCUAAUACCCAGGCCAGGGGUCUCAUCGGAGCUGGAGCUGCCAACCUACACCACAGCCACAGCAACGCGGGAUCUGAGCCGGGUCUGCGACCUACACCACAGCUCACGGUAACACAGGACCCUUAACCACUGAGCGAGGCCAGGGAUCGAACCCACAAACUCAUGGAUCCUAGUCGGAUUCGUUAACCACUGCACCACGACGGGAACUCCGCUCCGAAACAUUUUCGCCGGCGGUUUUAGAGCCAGUUUUGGUACACUGGUGUCUCGAUAGAGCAAAGAACGUCCCAUCGCACACAAGGAGACGUCUCGCCAGAGCAGCCGUCACACCGCCAGCGACAGCCUUCCACCCUUGUCUCGGACACUUUCCUUUCUUUGCAAAGAUGGAAGUUUCAAACAGAACCUAAGACAUGAGCGUUGGCACGGCCCUGAGCCCCCUCAUAGUUGGGUGGGUCCCUUGUGUCCUGGAAUGGGGGCUGAGUGCCAACCCCUUCCUGGGCCCUGGGCCUGGCCCGCCUCCCCACCCCCAGCUCUGAAACUCCGAGUCUGUACUGCGGGGUCCCAGCGGCACAGGGAGCGAGCAGACCCGGCAGCGGUGUGAAGCUGGCAGGCCCCGUUCGGCCCCAAGAGCAGCCACAUCUGCCUCCCUGCCCCCCGCUGGCCGCGCCGCCGGGCCCGGGUCCUUGUACCAGACGGAGGAGCACGUGGCCACUGCCAGCUGCUCCAAAGGAGGACACAAGCGAGGCAUUUUUCUCUGGGUUUCCAAACCCAGCGGAGGGCAUGUCACAGGGUGAAUAAAGGCGAAACCAUCCCGGGUGCUGUCACAGCCGUUUCCGCCAGAAGAAGUCAGGUGGGUGGCUGCGGGGCUGACGGAGGCCCAAGGAGGAGGAGCCGGGCUCAGCAGUCUUGAUGGCUGGGCCAGCCGGCCUGGCAGAGCCGCAGCCCUCGCUCCCGUAGUGAGGACGGGGGAGAGGGGCCCCAGGUGCUGAUUGCUGAGCAGCGGAACUGCAGGUGGGUUUGGGGUUUUCUCCUAUGUUGCAUUUGUAAAAUUUACAGUGAAAACAUACAGUUGACCCCUGAAGAACACGGGGGCUGUGGCACCGACCCUCUGAGCAGUGGAAAAUCCCAGUGUGACGAAUGUAUGUCAGCUGUCCCUAUCCUCAGAGCCAGCCAACCCCCGACCAUACUUGCGUAGCAUUUACUUCUGAAAAAUUCCGAUGCAAGUGGGCCGUGGGGUUCAAACCCACGGUUGUACAAGGCUCCAGUGCGCCUUCAUAACCAAAAGCCCUCGGGGUGUACAGCAGCUCCGAGCUUCGGUCUAGUCUCGGGUGGGUGGAGCCGCCACCACACCCUGUUGAGAUUAUUCACUGGGAGGCCACUGCAGGACUGGUCCCUCGGCCUCUGCACGGUGCUGCCAGCUUCCUGGGAGCAAGGCCCUGGCCUUGGAUGCAGAUGACAAGGAAACAGCAGAUUGGCCACCCCCAAGGCUCCCAGCCUCAUCCCUGUGCUGGUCUCCCUCCCAAGUCUUCUGCCUUUUUGUUCCUCUUUUUUUCCAUCCUGUGAAGGCUGUGUAAACGAAUCUCCUGAAAACAGUGGACAGUCUUAGAAAAAGUCCCCUGUGUCCAGCAGGAGUUGAGUAGCCUUCACCUGCAGUUCCGGUAACUUUUGAACCUACAGCCUCACACUCUUAACAAGUGCUCCAUCCACUUGGGCCUGAACUGAAGGUGUGGCCUCCUUGCCAUUGCCAUGGGCUGAAAGCUGGCCUUCAAAAAUGUGCUGUUGCAGCAGCAGAGAGAUAAGUGCGUGAAGCCAGAAUUGGAGUUUUCAUGAGACUAUUGGAAGCGUAGGAAAUCAUACUUGCUUCAGAUUACGUCAGGGCUGAAGAAUGAAAAAUACACCUAUGAUAAGACUUGUUUGAGAAAACUGUGGGGCCCUCUCUGCAUGACACUGCCUGCCCCUACCUAACUAACGGUAGUGUCUCCUGGGACCUUUUGUUGGGUGUGUGGGUGGGCUCCCCCCACCUGUCCCCCAGGCAGUAGCAGCAGCAGUUAGGAGGCUGGAGCAAGGGCCCUGCAGUGACAGGAGCUGCAGGUGUGGCUUUGACCCUGUGCACCUGCCAGGUUGGGGCCCUGGACUACCCACUGCUCAGGUCCCAGUCCUGCUGGGACUCUGGCACUUGAGCCAAAGUGUCUUGAGCCAGGGGCACUGGGGCACAUGCAUGGUACACACUGCCCCUCGUGGUUUUGUAUUCGUGUCUCAGAAUUGUUGCCUUUGUGUUGACUCUCACCUCCAUCCGGUGGAGUCUUGAAAGUUGAGGUUGUGACAAAGUCACACCUUGCCAGACUCUGUCUUGUCCAAGAAAAUUUUCUUCGAGGGCAAAAUCAAUACUUUGUUUUUAAAGGAGUUAGAAUUCUUAACUCAAGUCCUUAUUUUAUUUUUUUUCUUCACAGAAAU
RNAcentral lists this long non-coding RNA (2767 nucleotides) under Sus scrofa (pig). Its description in RNAcentral is "lncRNA (ENSSSCG00050065142.1)". The record is from RNAcentral. Lineage: Eukaryota; Metazoa; Chordata; Mammalia; Artiodactyla; Suidae.